UACGUAGGGGGCAAGCGUUGUCCGGAUUUAUUGGGCGUAAAGAGCUCGUAGGCGGUUCCGUAAGUCAGGUGUGAAAAAUCUGGGCUCAACCCAGUGGAGCACCUGAUACUGCGGUGACUCGAGUCCGGUAGGGGAGUGUGGAAUUCCUGGUGUAGCGGUGAAAUGCGCAGAUAUCGGGAGGAACACCAAUGGCGAAGGCAGCUCGCUGGGACGUGACUGACGCUGAGACGCGAAAGCGUGGGGAGCAAACAGG
Molecule: ribosomal RNA, 253 nt
Filed under: uncultured bacterium
Lineage: Bacteria
Description: partial 16S ribosomal RNA
Rfam family: Bacterial small subunit ribosomal RNA
Source: RNAcentral